UACGGGGGGGGCAAGCGUUGUUCGGAAUUACUGGGCGUAAAGGGCUCGUAGGCGGCCAACUAAGUCGGAUGUGAAAUCCCCAGGCUCAACUUGGGAACUGCAUCCGAUACUGGAUGGCUUGAAUUCGGGAGAGGGAUGCAGAAUUCCAGGUGUAGCGGUGAAAUGCGUAGAUAUCUGGAAGAACACCCGUGGCGAAGGCGGCUCUCUGGGACGGUACUGACGCUGAGACGCGAAAGCGUGGGGAGCGAACAGG
Molecule: ribosomal RNA, 253 nt
Filed under: uncultured bacterium
Lineage: Bacteria
Description: partial 16S ribosomal RNA
Rfam family: Bacterial small subunit ribosomal RNA
Source: RNAcentral